This is an RNA transcript of Bactrocera tryoni, 2331 nucleotides long. RefSeq lists it as uncharacterized. The transcript has 3 exons. The record is from RefSeq and is a predicted model, not a curated record. Lineage: Eukaryota; Metazoa; Arthropoda; Insecta; Diptera; Tephritidae.
AAAACUAUAAUAGUUAUACAUAUGCUAUUGCAAUAUCUUUUCUAGAAAGUUAUAGGAUCUGCCAUUGCGUAGUACAUUAAUUUGUUCUAUAAUCAAUCGUUUUCACAGCGCACGCGAAUUAAGAACAUUUUUUGAUCAUUUUUUCAAACCUUGGGUAACAUUAUUGGGGGUUUAGUAUGAAUCCCCAACUUUUUUGAAAAUUUAAUAUAGCCUAUUUUGGGAUGUAGGGCAGGUCGCCUCCAAGCUGGUGCAUCCUGGGUAACGCUAAAUGACCUGCGGCCUUCACGGCCUUACAACUCCUUGGACGACCUUUCGCUUUGGACUGGUUUUUGAGAAACAUUUAUUUGGAUUUGGUAGAACCCUGGGCUGGUGGUGGCGGCAUUCUGGCACCUGAGUAUGAUGAGGGAACACUCAUCAGAAAUGGCUGUCGGGCUAAUGUCGCAACCGCCCCCGUCCCGUUAAAACCCUGGCAGGGCUCCCCUCGUCGUUAAGUUGGAGAUGACUCUUUCUUUGCACUGGUCGGCUCUGAACGUAUUGCUUAAUAAGGGCGUACAACGUACGUCAACCCUCGCCUUGGCCUCGUCACUGAGAUAACCUUGGGACCAUAAAAGGCGACUACUUUUUCGGGGGCGGAUAGCGGCUCUGAGUGGGGAACCUUUUUGAAUGGACAAUAAUACAAACAACAACAACGACGGAAAGACGACGAAGGGCGGUGAAAGACUGUCGAAAUCGACACCUAGAUCCAACCCAGGUGGGGCUGCUGCUCCUACGGCGACGAAACCGUCGCUGGGCAAUUGCAGCAACAGGACAAAGUCUCCAGUUGGUGUCUCAUCAGGUAGCAAAAUGGGGGAAGCCGGCGCAAGUCCGCCGGCAGGAGAAGUAGCGAAGGGUGGACCUUUCAUACGCGGCGGAAUUGCUAGCACUAGCAGAGGAACCUCUGCUAGAGUUAUGAAAGGAUCCACUGGGAGUAGAAGCAAAGCAGAUUUAGCGAGAAAGCUAAAGUCGGACCGCUGAUUGGCGGCCAAGAUCUUGGAACGCUACGGUGACAAGCAUGUUGGUCAGGUAUCGAGGGCUCGCGUUUGGCUGGCGGCCGAACCUUCCACUGCAAGCGAGAUUGACGAAAUCCUCAGAUAUCGCAAUCCCUCACUUCCAACGCAGGACUGGAAUGUUUUAAGGCUAGAGAGAACCGAUGAACCAUAUCGGCAAGCGCUGAUAAUGCUAAAUGCGGAAUCCAUCGGUCCUCUCAGCAAAACAAAGGAAGCCAUACUGAAAGUACUUCCAUCAGACGCCAGAGCUGAUGGCACUCAAGCAGCGGCUGCGGUGGAUGUGACAGAGGGCGCUGACGGUCAAGCGACCGUGGAAAUCGACCCGAAUCUCUCGGACGUGGCGAGUACUGGGGGCGGUUCGUCGAUCGGCGACACCGUCUUCAACCUCGAACAACUGUUUAAAGAGGUGCGGGUCGAUCACGAUUUGGGCGCUGACCUAGAGCUCCUGGAGGAAAGUCUGAAGGAUGAAAUUCCACCAGAUUAACCUCCAGCAUGUGAAGGCGGCCUCCGCCAACCUUUUGCUUCGUCUAGAACAAGACGGAGCUGAUGUCGUCCUGAUCCAGGAACCGUGGCUGACUGGCAACGGGAUAUCUGGAUUGAGGACAAAGAGCCAUAGGCUCCUGACGGCCAAGGAUGCAGCAACGCCGACAUAGGGACAGCGAAGCUGGAGUGUGACACCGGAGAUUUCUGGCUUAUCUCCGCGUACAUGCCACACGAUGAUGUGGUGGAGCCACCUCCCUUACUGCUGAGGAGGACCUUAGCCGAAGCGUCUAAGAGUGGUAACAGCGUCAUCAUCGCUUCCGACGCUAACUCGCGACACCAAAUCUGGAGUAGCUCGGAUACAAAUAAUAGAGAUUUCUGGCAACUGGAGCAUCAUUUGCCUCACUAGCUUUUUCGUUUCGGCUAGGCAAGUCAACAGUAGGAGCUAUUGUUAAGGAGACAACCCAAGUUCUAUGGGAUAAUAUGUUUACUAUACAUAGAAUGUUUGUUAAGGCCGUAUAGCCGAAAGGAGAUAACGGAAGACCAUGAAUAUUUUAAUGCCCGGCUUUCAAGAGCUAGAAAGUGCAUUGAAUGCGCCUUUGGGUUAUUAAGUGCAAGGUUCAGAAUAUUAUGGAAACCCAUUGAAACGGAUCCUUUGUUCGCUGAACUCAUUGUAAAAUGUAUAUGCCUUCUACACAACAUAAUUAUUGAUUUAGAAGGAUUAGAUGAAAAUUUAAAGGAAGAAGUGCAAAAAGAACAUUUUGGAAAAAUCAUAAAAGAAUUCAAUAAAACAAGUGUCAAAAAU